This is an unclassified non-coding RNA of Nomascus leucogenys (northern white-cheeked gibbon), 293 nucleotides long. Its record names the gene 7SK. It matches the Rfam family "7SK RNA". Rfam says of the family: 7SK was discovered as an abundant small nuclear RNA in the mid-70s but a possible function has only recently been suggested. The record is from Ensembl. NCBI's taxonomy places the organism in Eukaryota, Metazoa, Chordata, Mammalia, Primates, Hylobatidae.
GCAUGCAAAGGUGAUCUGGCUGUGACAUCUGUCAACUUAUUGACCGCCAGGAUUAAUUCAGCUGAUCUGGCUGGCUAGGCAGGCGUCCCCUUCCUCCCUCAGCACUCCAUGUGCAUCUCUCCCGAAGCUGUGCACUCAGUCAAAGUGGAUGACCAUCUCCGACAGGAGGACCGGCCUUUGGUGAAGGGUACAGAGUAGCUGAGCUCCCCUGCUCAGCUCCCCUGACAAGCUCCAGACAAGCUCUCAAGAUUCAACAUAUUCAUUCAUGCAGUAGAGUUUUUUUUUUUUUUUGA